Long non-coding RNA from Mauremys reevesii (Reeves's turtle), 461 nucleotides. RefSeq lists it as uncharacterized. The record is from RefSeq and is a predicted model, not a curated record. The transcript has 4 exons. NCBI's taxonomy places the organism in Eukaryota, Metazoa, Chordata, Testudines, Geoemydidae.
AUUUCAUUAGUGUCUGCACAUCCUUUGCCUUACCUUUGAAGUACUGUCUUGUGCUGAAACGAUUAGCAGUACUUUACGUCAUAUCACUUGACUAUUUGACAGCCAUUGUGAGUGAGCUAAAUGGGUGAUCAGUAAGUUAGGAUGUUUGCCUUAUAGCCAGAUACUAGAUGGGAACAAGAAAAAUAGCAGAAAAAGGUGUGUUGCUGCAUGUGAUAAUGCAAAGUUUCCUGGAACAGCAAGCAAAAGUGAGCAGCCAGUGAGGCAGGAAACUGUGAGGAGGAGGAAAAUUUAUCUAGUCCCUGGAAACUGAAGGAAUUCACCAUUCUCUUCAUUGUCAUCUGGAGUCUGGUGAGAGACCACCCUCAAGGCACCACUGCAAGAUUUUUAAGACUGAAGACAGAGAAAGAAAGAAAUGGCAAAUAAGUGUAUGGUCUAUGCAAGGUCGAUAAAAGUAGACAAAA